GCUGCAGUGUGGUGAGGUCUGGGUUUGUACAUCACUGCCUGAAGAGUACUCAACCAGCUGUGGGAAGUCCAGGAGGAAGCAGAGAGAGACCUGAGAGCUCAAACAACCCUCAAGAAAGGAGGAAAGAUCGUGAGGAUGAUAAAGGUCUUUUGGCAGACAAACGAGUCCUGUGGGGGGAUCCUGAGGUGUGUUUGGAGAUGGACUUGUGGACCUUCUGCCGUGUCUGAGUUUCCCAUGGUGUAUCACUGGCAUUUGCUGGCUCAUGUGGAGACUGAGAUGCUGUCUGGGCGAAGAGGGGAGCAAUUUUUUAUGUUGAAAUUGAAAUGGAGUGUCAACUGAAGAAAACUAAGAGGUUCCAGGCAGAACUGCAGCCCAGAACUGCAGGAGAAAGGCUUUUAUUGAGGAAUGAAGCAAAAUAGGGAGUGAAGAGCAAGGGGCAUGGCAAGGACUCAAGCUGGAGUCUCAUACUUUAUUUUUGUCAAAGCUGGGGGUAGUUUUGCCUUUCACUUUGAACAAAAGCCAGUCCCCAAAAUCCAGAGGGGUGAGUAGAAGUCAAGAUGUGAGGGGACCCUGAUGCUUUGAACCCCCACAAACACUUUUCCCUAUUCCUCCCCCCCCAAAAAAGUGGUUUAUUCUGCCUGUAUGAGAGACUCAGUUACAUAAUCAGUCCCUGAUUUCACGUCUCUGUGUCCUGGCUCUGCAGCCCCUCCUGCCAAGGCUGGUCCAGUGCAGCAGUGGGGAGCCUGCUGCCACUUAGGUGGUCCCAAAUUGCUUCUUGCUUCUUGUUCCUCAGCUUCCUUGCCAAGUUUGGAAGGACUCUGUGAGGGCUUCUAGCUCUGAGCAGUGGGUUCAUUAAUUAGCACAUAUAUUGCCUUCAAGGUCUGCACCUCUCGGCUGCAGCUCUUGGGUCCCACGUGACAGUGCAGGUGGAGGUUUCUCUCUGGGAAUGGGGAAUGGAUGUUCCUUGUCUCAGUGUGCUUUUUGACCAUGGAAUUGAUCCAAUGCAAAGAGAGAAGGGACACUGUGGUUCUAGGGAAAACACUUCCUGCUGAGCUGAGAGCUGUAUUGGCACAGAGAUGAUGGCAAGUACACAUGGAGCCAGUUUUCUCUUUCCUCGUAGCCUGAGGGUCUCAGGGGUGUGGGACACAAGUCCAUGCCUUUCAAACAUGCUCCAGACAGCGUCUCAUGUGAUGCUGACAUUGUCCAAAAUUGCUGAGGACACGUUUCUCCCUUCCCCUGCAAGCACAUGG
This 1250-nucleotide long non-coding RNA is filed under the name Manacus vitellinus (golden-collared manakin). RNAcentral's name for it is "lncRNA (ENSMVIG00005013039.1)". Lineage: Eukaryota; Metazoa; Chordata; Aves; Passeriformes; Pipridae. The record is from RNAcentral.